UACGGAGGGUGCAAGCGUUAUCCGGAUUCACUGGGUUUAAAGGGUGCGUAGGCGGGCAGGUAAGUCCGUGGUGAAAUCUCUGAGCUUAACUCAGAAACUGCCAUGGAUACUAUUUGUCUUGAAUAUUGUGGAGGUAAGCGGAAUAUGUCAUGUAGCGGUGAAAUGCUUAGAUAUGACAUAGAACACCAAUUGCGAAGGCAGCUUACUACACAGUUAUUGACACUGAGGCACGAAAGUGUGGGGAUCAAACAGG
This 253-nucleotide ribosomal RNA is filed under the name uncultured bacterium. Its description in RNAcentral is "partial 16S ribosomal RNA". It matches the Rfam family "Bacterial small subunit ribosomal RNA", at positions 524 to 776 of the family's 1533-position model. The record is from RNAcentral.